RNAcentral lists this non-coding RNA (30 nucleotides) under Mus musculus (house mouse). Lineage: Eukaryota; Metazoa; Chordata; Mammalia; Rodentia; Muridae. The record is from RNAcentral.
UGCAAUGAAUCCCACGCUGAGCAACCUGAG